UAGAAGAGGAAUAAACUAAUAAUCUACUUUGGCUGAAUUGGAUGCCUGAUUACUUGUGGAUCUGGUCUAUCGGGAUCGGCCGUGUAUGUCGAGACUAUCGAAGAAGACAAAUAUGAACGCAUCCUCGCUUCCUGAUGUUUGACCUCAAACCUGUCCACCGUCCACCAUCAAUCACAGAUCACAGCUCUGUCCCACUUUUCCCAGUUAGUCAGCAGUGUUCCUGGAGCGUGGUGCUGCGCGAGCGGGAAAACCACAUCCUGUUGGAGCAGGUCAGCCUGGAGCCUGACACCUGUGAGAGCCCGUGUUCCAUCACCACCACCACCGUCAUCAUCGCCUUCCGCCUUCCACUCCCACUCGCUGCGCUCCCACACAUCUACCGCCAGUUCACG
This is a long non-coding RNA of Ictalurus punctatus (channel catfish), 389 nucleotides long. The record is from Ensembl. NCBI's taxonomy places the organism in Eukaryota, Metazoa, Chordata, Actinopteri, Siluriformes, Ictaluridae.